Molecule: long non-coding RNA, 1202 nt
Filed under: Phasianus colchicus (ring-necked pheasant)
Lineage: Eukaryota; Metazoa; Chordata; Aves; Galliformes; Phasianidae
Description: lncRNA (ENSPCLG00000021636.1)
Source: RNAcentral
GGUGUACUCAACGUCCUUGCCCAGCACCUGGCUCCAGUCAUCACCUGAGCAGCACACACAGCUGGAGCUCAUCCUGCUCAUCCUAGAGCUGAGCCAAUCCCAUCACUAGUAUGGAUGGAACCUGUGUUCCUGGCUCUAUUUCUACCAGCUCAGAGAUAAGGAGCCUUUUUGGCUUUGCUCUUGCUGCAACUGGUCUCUCUAGGGAUGGACUUUUGGAAGGUAUUUUGCUGCAGGGAUAUUGCUGGUUCUUCACAUUGAUUGGACUCCUGGCUGUGCCUCCAGCUUGCAUUGUUCUGUGCUGCUUCCUAGGGCAUGGCUGUGCCAUCAGCUGCUUGCACAUCAGAGCCUACCUCUGGGAUUUAUCAUCUUCUGAAUACUGAGAUUCCUACGCCAAAGCAGUCGUGACAACCACAUAAUAUUUAUCUUGGAAAGGACUUCUGGAGACCCUCUGGUGCCAGCCGAAGGAGGAUCAGCUUUGAAGCUACACAGGGUUGCUCAGGUCGCUGCGAUGUCCUGUAGUCAUCACGCGGCAGAGCUUUCUGUAAGAGCAGCUUUCUGGCCAAAGGACUGAAUGCUUUAAGCAUCCCACAAGGCCAGAUGGUUUCCUCUUUUCCCCCAGAGUGAUGGCUCCAGGCUGGGCUGGAGGCAGCUCAGCAGCAGCAGGGUGGAUGAAAGCUUUCAUUCCUGGUUCCAGAGAGUAACACUCAUAACACCUUACCCUACUCAGGGAGAGGGGAAAAAAUAUUAAAUAUUAAUGAAAAGCAAAGAUCAUUUGGCUGGUUAAAUCAUCCAAAAUCAAAGCAGAUGCAAAGGGGUGACAGUUUCUUGUUUGCCUGCUGGCCAAUUCUGUUCCUCAGGAUUUCAAUUACAAACCUCAAUGUCUGGAGGCGGCAGGAAAGGCUUAAAUUGUUCCACGCAGGAUUGCAGUUCAGAUGGAAGAAAAUGUAUUUAUUUUUCCUGACGAGGAUGGGGUCACGGUGAUUUCUCCUCGCUGGGUUCCUCGCCAUGAAUGCACUACAGGGGGAAGUGUGGGCUCUUGUUGGGCUUCCAGAGAAUUUACUUUGAAACUUUUUGCAAUGCCUCUGAAAGCAAGAAAAAUGUUCCCAUUCAUUAAUGCUCUGCUGCAAGGGGGAGGGAGAGGAGAAGGAAAGUGCGUGGUCAUCUAGAAUAAAUGCAGCAUUGCUGGGAUUAAAGUAGAGAGA